Molecule: long non-coding RNA, 2324 nt
Organism: Dama dama (fallow deer)
Lineage: Eukaryota; Metazoa; Chordata; Mammalia; Artiodactyla; Cervidae
Exons: 3
Source: RefSeq, a predicted model, not a curated record
AUGUUAAAAUGUGGGGCUAGCAACACAAACCAUGUAGUAAUAGCUUCUAAAUGCGAUAGAUUCCGUUCGUUCUCUCCGUAACCCUGACGUUGAUCACUAAUUUACAAAGAAACGAAUUCUGUAAUUCAAGGAGUGGCUCAGACGUUAAAGAAUGUGCCUGCUAUGUAGGAGACCCGGGUUCGAUCCCUGGAUCGGAAAGAUCCCCCGGAGAAGGAAAUGGCAACCCACUCCAAUAUUCUUGCCUGGAAAACCCCAUGGACAGAGGAGUCUGGCGGGUUCCAGUCCAUAGGGUCACGAGGAGUCGGACACGACUGAGCGACUAACACUGUAACUCAACAUCGUUACACGAGAGAGAUCAACAUUUGCGUCCGAGAGCCAGUCACUGACCAGCAAUUUCUCUGUGCUAAGUCCUGGACACAGAAUCAGACUGGGUACGCUCUGAGAGGCUCACGUCGGAUGGGAGAAGUCAGAGCCGGAAACAAAGAAGUGUUCCGCAAACGGCUAACGGAUCUUCAUUGUGGCAUGCAAGUUUCUCUAGUUGCAGAUGUGGGAUCUUAGUUCCCUGACCAGGGAUUAAACCCAUGUCCUCUGCAUUGGAAGGUAGAUUGUUAACCACUGGACCACCAAUGGACUCCUGUACCAGAUGAGCCCUAAAGAUACUUCUACUUCUGAUUUAUGAAGACUCAGCUACUUGUCUCUCAAGGCCUACAUACUACUGCCCCAAAGGGCAGUGAGCAGAGGCUUCUGAGAUCAUUUCAGGAGAAUGAAACAAACAAGAUAAUACAUCAACUACAAACUCAAGAUUCUUGGGAAGUAGGGCUUGACAUGAACAGAGCUGAAGAGCCCAGGAUGACUAUUAAACAUAACUAAUGGCUUUCCUGCGUCAGAAUUUCCUGCCUCAAAUCCCAAGUGAAAGAAGAUCAAGAAAACAGGCUAGCUUUUCAACUGCUAAAUUCUCUCAGUAACUCUCUCAGGUAAAAUUAUUCCAGGAGCUUUGGUCUGCCGCCCGUUUCCUUCCCUUUGAAGUACUGGUUUUCCAUUAACAAGGGAGCCUUGCAAAAUCAAACACUCUGUGAUCAGACAUUUCAUAGUCUACAAUGGGGGCCGGGUUACUCUUAGAUCAAAGUUGGAUUUCUUUCUUUUCUAAAAAAAUUGUCUUCUUGGGUCUUAAUUGUGGCAUGUAGGAUCUUCAUUUGGGUGCAUGGAUUCUAGUUUAGGGGGCAUCUGGGCUCCAUAAGUUGUGGCACAUGGGAUCUUAGUUCCCAUCAGGGAUGGAACCUAUGUCCCCUGCAUUACAAGGCAGAUUCUUCACCUUACACAAAGAAUAAAGAACAGAAAAUAACAAACCAAAAACGAGAGAGGAAAGAGAUUUAUUUAUUUAGAACGAAGGAGCACAAUGAAAAUUGUAGGAGAAAUCUUGCAAUUAUAAUUUGCAAUUUGUAAUUUUAAAAAGCUAACAACACAAUCAUCAUGAAAUCCAGAAAUGAAGCCAUAUUUUUCUUAAACACCUCUAUUUUUUCUUUUUAAAGGUUUAAUGGACUUUGAUCACUUUAUAUAACAAUUUUGUAUCAUUUCCCACAAUUUUAAUGGAACGACAAUUUAGUUUUUCCUUCAGCAUGUCAAACCAAAAAUUUUUUCUUGUAAUUUAGAAAAGUUCCUUCUUACUUUGCAAUUCUUUUUUAGUAACGUCAUGAACAUUUUGAGAGUUGUCAAAGUUGAGGGCAACCUGUAUCAAAUUUUUGUCAUAUACUAACUGUAAGAUUUUGGGAAAUUUGAAGCUUUCUAGUUGCCCUGAUUACCCUUAAAUACUUACUUCAUUGAGGACCCGCCGUGGAGGUGUACAUUACACACGGAGGGUCAACAGUAACUAUUCACACAAGAGUAUCACAUAAACCUAUCCUACUAAGCUCAAACGUUCCCAAUAGGAUUUCCUCUAGCAGAAUCCCAAACGCCACUAGACAUAAGAGGAAGUGUGAUGGGAGGAGAAAUCGGAAUAGAAAGAGGUUCUAACCGACUGCAAUAAAAACGUGACUCUUAAAAAAUUUUCAAAACCAUAUGACUAUGUGAGCACGGUGCUGGGUCCUCUCCUUAAGCCAACGAAGGGUCCCGGGGACUCGACGGGCCCUUAAGCUUAAGCUUAGUUCCAUGCUGGUAUCACCUUUUGGUAACCGACGACGCAAAGCAAGAACGCGGCAUAAGGAAUUGGGGCGAGGCACUGCUGUUGUAAUGGCUAAAUUAAGGCCCUUCACCCACACACCAGUUUGUGUUGGUUUGUUUUAUAACCCUGUCCCUAACUCUAGGGUUUCAUCAGGACUCGAACUCAU